Molecule: ribosomal RNA, 253 nt
Filed under: uncultured prokaryote
Description: partial 16S ribosomal RNA
Rfam family: Bacterial small subunit ribosomal RNA
Source: RNAcentral
UACAGAGGGUGCGAGCGUUGUUCGGAAUUAUUGGGCGUAAAGCGCAUGUAGGCGGCAUCAUAAGUCGCGUGUGAAAGCUCCAGGCUCAACCUGGAAAGUGCGCGCGAAACUGUGGAGCUUGAGUGCCGGAGAGGGUGGCGGAAUUCCCGGUGUAGAGGUGAAAUUCGUAGAUAUCGGGAGGAACACCAGAGGCGAAGGCGGCCACCUGGACGGACACUGACGCUGAAACGCGAAAGCGUGGGGAGCAAGCAGG